GGGCCGGUAGCUCAGCUUGGUAGAGCGCUUGACUUUUAAUCAAGCGGUCGCGGGUUCAAAUCCCGUCCGGCCCG
RNAcentral lists this transfer RNA (74 nucleotides) under Candidatus Woesearchaeota archaeon. RNAcentral's name for it is "tRNA-Lys". It matches the Rfam family "tRNA". From Rfam's summary of the family: Transfer RNA (tRNA) molecules are approximately 80 nucleotides in length. Their secondary structure includes four short double-helical elements and three loops (D, anti-codon, and T loops). Further hydrogen bonds mediate the characteristic L-shaped molecular structure. tRNAs have two regions of fundamental functional importance: the anti-codon, which is responsible for specific mRNA codon recognition, and the 3' end, to which the tRNAs corresponding amino acid is attached (by aminoacyl-tRNA synthetases). tRNAs cope with the degeneracy of the genetic code in two manners: having more than one tRNA (with a specific anti-codon) for a particular amino acid; and 'wobble' base-pairing, i.e. permitting non-standard base-pairing at the 3rd anti-codon position. The record is from RNAcentral. Lineage: Archaea; Nanobdellati; Candidatus Woesearchaeota. RNAcentral also lists the same sequence under 1 other name.